AUAUGAUCUGGCUGCAACAUCUGUCACCCCAUUGAUCGCCAAGGUUGACUUGGCUGAUCUGGCUGGAUAAGCAGGUGUCCUCUUCCUCCCUCACCCAUCCAUGUGCAUCCCUCCCAAAGCUACAUGCUCAGUGGAUGAGGACAACCAUCCCCAAUAGAUGACCAUUUCCUCAGUCAAGGGUAUACAAGUAUGCUUUCCCCUACUAGAUCCUCCAAACAAGCUCUCAAAAAGUCAUAUGCACCAAUACUGCCUGUACACGAAAUAAAAACUACAUAAGGUACUUGAAUAUCUCUUAUAUGAA
Fukomys damarensis (Damara mole-rat) is the source of this 301-nucleotide non-coding RNA. The record is from Rfam. NCBI's taxonomy places the organism in Eukaryota, Metazoa, Chordata, Mammalia, Rodentia, Bathyergidae.